CGGCCGCGGUAUUUUAACCGUGCGAAGGUAGCGUAAUCACUUGUCUUUUAAAUAAAGACUUGUAUGAAUGGCAUCACGAGGAUUAAACUGUCUCCCCCCUCUAAUCAGUGAAACUGAUCUCCCCGUGCAGAAGCGGGGAUAAUAUCAUAAGACGAGAAGACCCUGUGGAGCUUUAAAUCAAAAGUCAACUACUUUUCACUUCAUAUUUAACAUAUUCUAUAGACCUGACCAAGAUUUUUAGCUGGGGCGCCUGCGGAGAAAAAUUUAUCCUCCGCGAAGAAUUAAAGCUACGAACUACAAUUCAAAGUAUUAAUAAACUUAACUUCUAUUGACCCAAUCUUAUUGAUCAACGGACCAAGUUACCCCAGGGAUAACAGCGCAAUCCACUUCUAGAGUCCCUAUCGACAAGUGGGCUUACGACCUCGAUGUUGGAUCAGGGCAUCCGAGUGGUGCAGCCACUACUAAAGGUUCGUUUGUUCAACGAUUAAAGCCCU
RNAcentral lists this ribosomal RNA (494 nucleotides) under Leptobrachella heteropus (variable litter frog). RNAcentral describes it as "Leptolalax heteropus (variable litter frog) partial 16S ribosomal RNA". It matches the Rfam family "Bacterial large subunit ribosomal RNA", at positions 1928 to 2597 of the family's 2925-position model. Lineage: Eukaryota; Metazoa; Chordata; Amphibia; Anura; Megophryidae. The record is from RNAcentral.